RNAcentral lists this ribosomal RNA (499 nucleotides) under uncultured bacterium. RNAcentral describes it as "partial 16S ribosomal RNA". It matches the Rfam family "Bacterial small subunit ribosomal RNA", at positions 28 to 507 of the family's 1533-position model. The record is from RNAcentral.
GACGAACGCUGGCGGCGUGCCUAAUACAUGCAAGUCGAGCGAAGUUUUUCUGGUGCUUGCACUAGAAAAACUUAGCGGCGAACGGGUGAGUAACACGUAAAGAACCUGCCUCAUAGACUGGGACAACUAUUGGAAACGAUAGCUAAUACCGGAUAACAGCAUUAACUGCAUGGUUGAUGUUUAAAAGUUGGUUUUGCUAACACUAUGAGAUGGCUUUGCGGUGCAUUAGCUAGUUGGUGGGGUAAAGGCCUACCAAGGCGACGAUGCAUAGCCGACCUGAGAGGGUGAUCGGCCACACUGGGACUGAGACACGGCCCAGACUCCUACGGGAGGCAGCAGUAGGGAACCUUCCGCAAUGGGCGAAAGCCUGACGGAGCAACGCCGCGUGAGUGAAGAAGGAUUUCGGUUCGUAAAGCUCUGUUGUUAGGGAAGAAUGAUUGUGUAGUAACUAUACACAGUAGAGACGGUACCUAACCAGAAAGCCACGGCUAACUACGUG